Phalacrocorax carbo (great cormorant) is the source of this 2505-nucleotide non-coding RNA. Lineage: Eukaryota; Metazoa; Chordata; Aves; Suliformes; Phalacrocoracidae. The record is from RefSeq and is a predicted model, not a curated record.
GACCCUGCAGAUAAGGAGAAUCUAAUGCCUGUGAGCCUGUGGUAGAGCCCUGGGCUGCUCGUGUCUGCGAGGGCUGCUCGUGUCUGCUGAGGGAGGGAGACGCAGUGCUUUCCGCUGAUGUUAUAGUGUGGGGCGUCCCACUCCCCUGCCCGUCUGCAAGGGGCAGCUCUACAGAGCCACGUGGUUUGUUUAUAAAGGAGAAGAGACAGCCUUUCAAUACACUAGGGGCUACGCCACUCGGAUGACAUGUGAAGGAAGCUUAGAAAACAAAGCAAGGAAACGCAAGCGAGGAAAUGACACUGCAGACCUCCAUCCCGUUCUGGCCACCUCCUGCUCGCCGACGGGCAGAGAAGACUACUCCAGCAACACCGGUGUCGCAGGUGGCUCAGCGGUGUAACGAAGGAGAGAUUUUGUCCCCCAUGGUGUUAAAGGUAGCGUAACAUGAUGAAUCUGGGUCAGGAGCGGUCGUGAACUCCUGCUGGCCAGGGUUACAGCUCCUAGCUCCACCUGGCGCGCAGCCUGGCAGUACGGACCUCCUCUUUCUCCCCUGCAUUUUCUGGUCCCUGCUCACCUCCUACAGUUUUUACUGCAAAGCAGAGAUGGGUCACAGCUCCCUGCGCAGUGAACCUUGCCGAAACACACUUCUGUUUGUGCCGUCCAGUGCCCAGCUGCUGACGGGCAGCUCUUUGCAGUGCACGAAGCACACAGAACCACCCGGUCUUGGGUGCCGUGGUCUGACCUGCACUGCACCGCCCUGACAGCAAUCGCAGGAGCUGGCUUUUCUGGUCCUUCCCCUGCCACAGACACAACACCCUCAGUAAUGACACGUGCAUGAAAAGUCAGUCCUUUCGUCUCCUCUGCUUUUUGCAAUGGCUGUAGAUAAUUUGCUUACCCUGCCCCUGGCUGUAGUGCAAGCUGCUUCGCCCCAGACUGGGACUGGGCAGAAAUUCCUGCAUGCAGGUUUGGACCACAAGACGUAAGAGACUUGUUCACGUCUGUGGCGGGACCCUUGUUCACAAGCACCGGGUUCUCACUGCAGCCCAUUGCUCCAAACGGGAGAGAUGGAAGAUGUACCUGGAGAAUCCUCCUAGGAAAGCAUAACCUUAGCCACAAUGAAUCCACAGAGUACACCGUGUGAAGGAAAUCUACCAGCAUGAGUGGUUCCACGAAAACCACUCAAACCAUCUGGAUUAUGAUAUGGCCUUGGUCAAGCCUAUGGAAGACAAAACAGCAAGCCCUUUGGCCUGCUAUGCCUGCCUGCCCGAGAGAGGCUGCUCUGUCUGCCCGGGACAGUCCUGCUCGGUGACGAGAUAGGUGGACACAACAGGUAUAUUAGCGCUGCUGGUUUUCAAGGUCAGAUGGGGUCAGCAUUAUUUCCUCUUAAAUCUAAAUACAUAGAGAAAGAUUAUAUAGCACAGCCUGUAUCUCCUAUGUUUUUAGAUGAAGGCAAAUACCUGAAAUGCAGGUUCCUAGGGUAGCAGCACAUCUGGGGUUAGGUGGCUGACUUGUACUUUCUCUUAUGUCAGCAUUGAAUUAUUUGUACUCUGGCUGCAGCCAUGAGUCCUACCCACAAGUUAAGUAUCCUAUUCAAAAGAACAGUUCCUUGGUCUACGCCCAGAGGAGCUCCUGUGUGUGUAGGAACCGGUGACUCAGCUACCACACCUAUGCAGAGCUACACAGCUACUUAGCUUUCCAUUUGAAGUCCUGUCUCAAUGUUAAUGUAUGUUUUAAGGACUGUGCAAACACGUAGGAAAGGCAGCACUUCACAGACACGCAUUCUUGGAGGUGCUGGCUGGGUGGUCCUGGAAAGGCUUUGAAUAGCCAAAAGCGUGGGAAGCAGCGCUGCAACCCAUUCUUGCUGCUCUCCAGGAUAGUAACUGGAUCCUUUUCCCAGCUGAAAACUGUGGUGGCAGGUAUCAGGAGAUGUUCUGCUCUGCUUCACACCCGGGGAAAGACAAAAACAAACAAACAAAGGUACUGUGUAAAGCCAAGCCAAAUGAUGCACACUGGCAAUCUGCCGGUGGACAUGAGAAAGACCAAAACUGGUGGCUUGCCACAUCCCCUGACAUGUUCAAUAUUUCACUUUUCUCCUCAGCUUGGUUUUCUUGUGGGUGGGGAAGGUGACCUGGCAUUGCCCAAGGUUUUAAUAGAAUUAUAGAAUCAUAAAAUCACAGAAUCAUUUAAGUUGGAAAAGACCUCUAGGAUCAUCAGGUCCAACUGUCAAAUACUAUAAUGUCUCCUAAACCAUGUCCCAAGUGCUGCAUCUACAUGUUUUUGAACACCUCCAGGGACAGUGACUCCCCCACCUCUCUGGGCAGCCUGUGCCAAUGUCUGACCACUCUUGCAGUGAAGAAAUUUCUCCUAAUAUCCAACCUAAACCUCCCCCGAUGCAGCUUGAGGCCGUUUCCUCUCGUCCUGUCACUGGUGACUUGGGAGCAGAGACCAGCCCCCCCCUCACUCCAGCCCCUCUCAGGCAGCUGCAGAGAGCGAGAAGGGCUCCCCUCA